RNAcentral lists this ribosomal RNA (642 nucleotides) under uncultured Anaplasma sp. RNAcentral's name for it is "bacterial SSU rRNA". It matches the Rfam family "Bacterial small subunit ribosomal RNA", at positions 815 to 1456 of the family's 1533-position model. The record is from RNAcentral. Lineage: Bacteria; Pseudomonadati; Pseudomonadota; Alphaproteobacteria; Rickettsiales; Anaplasmataceae.
GCUGAAUGUGGGGAUAAUUUAUCUCUGUGUUGAAGCUAACGCGUUAAGCACUCCGCCUGGGGACUACGGUCGCAAGACUAAAACUCAAAGGAAUUGACGGGGACCCGCACAAGCGGUGGAGCAUGUGGUUUAAUUCGAUGCAACGCGAAAAACCUUACCACUCCUUGACAUGGAGAUUAGAUCCUUCUUAACGGAAGGGCGCAGUUCGGCUGGGUCUCGCACAGGUGCUGCAUGGCUGUCGUCAGCUCGUGUCGUGAGAUGUUGGGUUAAGUCCCGCAACGAGCGUAACCCUCAUCCUUAGUUGCCAGCGGGUAAUGCCGGGUACUUUAAGGAAACUGCCGGUGGUAAACCGGAGGAAGGUGGGGAUGAUGUCAAGUCAGCACGGCCCUUAUGGGGUGGGCUACACACGUGCUACAAUGGUGACUACAAUAGGUUGCAACGCCGCAAGGCUGAGCUAAUCCAUAAAAGUCAUCUCAGUUCGGAUUGUCCUCUGUAACUCGAGGGCAUGAAGUCGGAAUCGCUAGUAAUCGUGGAUCAGCAUGCCACGGUGAAUACGUUCUCGGGUCUUGUACACACUGCCCGUCACGCCAUGGGAAUUGGCUUAACUCUAAGCUGGUGCGCUAACCGAAAGGAAGCAGCCAU